GAAAUUUUCAUCUCCUCUCUCUUUCUAUGCACUGUCUAUUUCUGCAAAUCAAUACUGGGAGAUUGUGAGAGAGAAGAGAAAGAGAAUGGAAGCCAUUGAACUAGUAUACAUAAAUAAAUAUAUCUUCAGUUUUGGAAAGGCAGAGAAGAAACGAGAACCCUUAUCUCAUCUCUUGUCUCUCUCUCUUUGAACUUUGAAGACGACGAACGGCGGGAGGCGUGAUAGGCAGGGACGUUGACGGCGGUAAGCGUUGACGUUGAUGAUUACCAAGGACCUAGAGAUGUCGACAAUUGGCAGUUACUCAGUGAGGAUUUCAUCUAAUCGACGUUCAUUGAUCUCCGACAGAGACAGUAUCUACUCUUUCCGUUCAUUCUUCGAUUGGUCUCAUCUUCUCCUUUCCUCUAUAUCUGAAAUAUUCCCUGAGACUUUGUAUUUUGUAAAUUGUAAUCUUCUCUAAUUCGCCAGAAAAAAAUUUGGGUUUCGUUUGUUUGUAAAUUAAGACGGUGUAAAGCAUGAUUAGAUUCAUAAUCAAAAGAAAUUACCAAAGCAAAUACACAAAUUACUCACCCAACAAUCCAUCAAGUUCCUAAUUGGCAGAAGGUAAGUAUCAAAGAACUCUCUUUAUUUAUAUUUGUAUCCUUUUGUUUUUGUUUUUUAAUGGAUUUAAAACUAAUAUGGGUGAGAGUAUUUUUGUAUUUUUAUUAUUAAUUUUGUUAAUUGACAUAGAUCCUUUUGAACUCUUGGUUUUCUUUAGUGGGUUUUUGAUUUUUUGUGCUAGUUUUGAAUGUUGAGUUCAAUCCUUUAUAUUGGCCAUUUUGGGUCUCUGUUUUCUAUAAGAUGGUCUCUGUUCAAACUAUUAGAAAUUUGUGUGAUGAUUUUUCUAGAAUUUUUUGAAUUAACAAUCUCAUUACUCAAAACUGAUUACAUGAUUUGUGGUAAAGAAAAGGGUAAGUGGAAAUUCUUUUUGUAUUUUUCUAAUUUUGUUAUGUUUAUUUGUAAGUGGAAAUAAUGGAAGUUGAAUUAUUUUAGGUUGUACUUGCAGACUUUGAAUCAGGGUUUAGUAAAUAGUCAACAAAUGUUCCUUCUUAUAGAGAACGAUAAAUAAGAUAGAGUCUGCAACUAUAUUGAGCCCAUGAUAUAUAUACUAUAGCAGGAAAAAGAGUGAUCUUCUAGGAUGUUUGGUAGGUGUCUUAGGCGAUGCAACUUAAAUGUUGUGUGUGUGAGAGAGAGAGAGAGAGAGAGAGAUGAAUAUAAUGAAAUUCCAUGCACGUAGGAGAUUAGUACUAUUACUAUCUUUCAGUUUGAUGCUUUCUUCUUUUUUUGUUUUUUCCUAAACUUUGAAUUGUAGGUUUUGAGUUGCAGUAUGGAAACCAAUAUGAGAAGAAGGUUUACACACACACACACACACACACACACACACACACACACACAAAACCCAAUAUGAGGAAAAGACUAUUGUAUCUUUGAUUUGUGUCAAAGUGUUUGUGUUAUUUUUGUUCUAAUUUUUUUGGAGGGGUUUAGGCAGAUGUGAGUGGAAUUUUUAUUUUUAUUUAUAUUUAUUUAUGGAUCAGGCAACAAAGAGGCACUUGACACUGCAAAUUGAGAACUUGGAUGGAAAACGUGAUGAGCAAGUGGAAAUAUAAAAGUUAAUUAAGAAUGAAGUACAUUCAAAAACGGAUUAUUUCCCUUAUGGUAUACUGCAUAGCAUAGAAUAAAGUAUUUGAAAUGCUACUUUUGACUUUGAGUGGGACUGGGAGAAAUAAUUUGGGUCAGCUUUUCAUGAAUUAUGAGGCAAAUCAAUGAAUCUGAUUAUGAUUUAAAAAUGAUUCAGUAAUAGCAUAAAAAGAAGUUCUGACUUGUGGAACAAGCUACUGAUGUUCAUGGUGAUCUUUCUCAAAUUGGCUUUGACUUGGAUGCACUAUAGAGAAUGGUUUGUGGCUUGGUGAGUUUUGUCUCAAAGUUUUUUAAAUGAUUCAGUGUAACCCAUUCAACAUAAAUGAUAAGUUUUUCAAGAUAUAAAUGUGACUUGUCUCAUUUUAAUUCCGCUACUUGGAUAUUGAGUUUGUGAACUGUGCAUGCAAUAAAUAUCCAACUAUUUUAUGAUUUUCAUCUCUUAAACAUAAUGAAAUUUUAGAAACUUUUUUAUUUUUAAAUAUUCAUGGGGGUUAUAUAUAUGUUUAGGAAUUUUUAGAAUUAAUUUCGUCGAGAAUUUUGGUAAAAAUUAAGUGUGAACCUUGUUUUUAUUAGUUUAUGUAUGAUUUUUCUUGUUUGAUUCUAUCAAAAUCAUCACAAACUGUGGAAACAAUAACUGAAUUUCAUGAGUAUUGUGGCCAUAUUUUUGGUUCUCUAUUUUGUGUACUUUGUCCCAUUAAUUAGAGUCAAGUAGUUGGGUUUUGAGCUAUUGUUGGGUUUUAUUAAGUUGACUUUAUUACGAGAAUCACCUUUUGGCUUAAAUUGUUCAACACAAGUUUGGUUCUGUUGGCAAUUUAUUUCGAGUAAAAAACAGGACGUUUUCCAUAUACAUUUAUUUAUUUUUUAAUUCCCCACAUGCUCUUACAAACUAGUUUAUCUCAUGGUUACCCAAAAAAUACAUUUUAAGCUAAAAUUUGAUCAGGAAAUUGGAUGUGUAUUGGUCUCCAAUAAAACUAAAAGGUAGUAAUUGGAAAUCAUAUUGUCACAAUAGUCAUUGAAAGAUAAGAAUCAUGAUCCUCCCUAAAUAUGUUUUCUUUUCAUUUGUGUUUGAUCCAGGCUAAGGUUGGUUGCAUUUUUUUUCAUGAUAAAUUUGUUGCUUAGCUUGACAUUUGAUAAAAGCAGCGCAUCUUAUAGUGCUUAUAUUCUUAGGUUGUUGACCAAAUGAUCGAGGAAAUGGACUGUUGAUUCUUUUUUAAGUCCAAGUGUUUGUAAUCCCUUAGUAUGACACCUUGAAUCUUUUCCCCUUGUUUACAUUUAUUAUGGUACAUUGGUAUGUCUUGCCAUUUUGACAUUUAAUGUUCAAUGUAUGUUGUCACUGCUUUUCCACAGCAUGGAGUUUGGUUUAAGAUUCAUUUAUAUCUGAAACUAUAAGAUCUGGUGCUUCCCUUUUGUAUGUCCAGAGGACCAGCUGAUAAAGACAAACCAAACAAACAUACUAAUUAGGUCUCUUGUGCUUAAGAAACAGAAAGGGGGAUUCCAGUUCAAAGGAUGUUAAGAGUGCAGCUGCAAGUGAAGCUUAUAGAAAGAGUAUUGCUCGUCUCAAGAAGCUCAGUUAUGGCUCAACAUCGACAACUAGGACCCUACCCUCGUCUCUCAGAAGGUCUGUACCGAUGUCUACAAUGGCGUCACCACCAGCCAACUCGAUGAAUUGGCCAUUGAAACUAUUACUGCCAUGACUGCUAACCAUCCCAACUAUGCUUCUAUGAGUUUCAUUCUGAAAAUUAGGAUUGUAGCUUUUAAUCUGAGAUUAUUGAUUUUUUUUUUUUUUUUAAUCCAAGUUUCUUUCUCAAUCAAUAUCUUUCCUUUCUGUACUAACUGAUUCCUCUUCUCAAAGCAGAUAUAAGCUUUCACAUGCCCCCUUUUCCUUCAUUUUCUGGUUUGGUUAUUGAUCUGACUAUUGGUUAAUUAAUCUUUAAAAAGAUGAUAUUUGUGUGAGAUUGAUGAAAAUAAUUACAGCUUAAGACCAGCAAGGUAGGUUUUUUUUUUUUUUUUUUUUAAUUGGCAAAAGUUAGCGGUUAGUUGUUAGAUUGGCACAUUGGGAGAGUUGAACUCACACCUUCUCAUUGCAAGCACUUCAGACUUACCUUCUAUUUGUAAACAAUAAUCAAAAGAGAGAAUGAGAGGUAAAGAGCUGAUAAAAAUUGGUGUAAUGAAUAUUCCUCAAGCACACAGAAAAACAACAUGAAUGCAUACAUAGGUGCAAACAAUAUGCACGUGUCUGCUUGCCUCUACAUGCACAAAGUGAGAUAGAAGGGAGUUGGGAAGGUGAUUAAAUUUAAAUGUGGGACAAUCUUGAAUUAUGAGUUGAUUUGAGUGGUGAUAGAAGCCUUGUUGAAUGGAGAAGGACAUUGCCACCUCCAAACAAAAACAAAAAAAAAGAAAAAAAAACUUAAUAGAGCACCUUACUGGUAAAAGGAUUCAUAGAGUCAAAGGACAAACACAGAAUAUUUUACAUAUUAUACUAUAUUUUUUUGUUGGAUGCUGUUAUUUCAUGUGUUAGACCCAGUUAAAUUGAUAAAUAUGUACUUAAUUUAUCUAUAAAAUGUGAUUGGAUGGCUCAGCAUCAUUCAUACUUUCAAGCAUGACUAAAAUGAUUUAGGUGGUACAAGCAAAGAAUUAAUGGACUAACAGAAAAAGAGAUUGACAAGACUGUGGAGUGAUAUUAUAGUUGUUAAUCAUUCUAACAGCAGCUUUGUCAACUUUUAUUUGGAUAAUGUUGAAAUUAGGAUUGGCAAUGGUGAAAGAAUCAGCUUCUGGGUAGAUAAUUGGAUGGGAACCAAUUGUUUGAAGUCCCAAUUUCCUAGACUUUAUUACUUAUCAGUGGACAAAAACACAACUUUGAAUCUGUAGGUGACUAGGGCCAGAAACCAAAGCAGUUGGGAAUUCAACUUCAAAAGACCCUUAUCAGCAUGAGAGGAAGAAGAACUGCACAGACUACUUGAUGUUAUAGGUGAGGGCCCUGCAUUGAGAUUGGAGUCAAAUGAUAAUAUUUGGUGGAAAGCUAAUUCUUCAGGUAUUUUCAGUGUUAAAUGUGCUGUAAAUUGGUGCGAAUCAUUGAAUGGUCCUACUCUGAAACCUUUUGACUUGAUUUGGAACAAUCCCUCCCCAUUUAAAACCUAAUUUUUCUCUUGAUUGGCCUGGAAAGGGAGGAUUAAGACCUCAGAUUACUUAUAUGGAAUUGGUGUUCUUAGUGAUGAUGUUAGAUCUGAGUGUGUUAUGUCACUCUGAGUUUGAAUCACUCAAUCAUGUUCUGUUGAUUUGCCCCUUUGCUUGGAAAGUUUGGUCCAACAAAAUCAAUUGGUGGGGUUUGCAGUGGGCCUCUCCUAGUUCAAUGGACAUGCUAAUGCACUGGUGGAUGGGUUGGAAUUUUAGAAAAGGAGAAAAGCAACCUUGGAGAUCAAUUAUUAUGGCUGGUGUAUGGUCCCUUUGGAAAUGUAGGAAUGAUUGUUUGUUCAAUGAGCUGCAACCAAACUGUGAAGAUCUUUGUGAGCUAAUUAAAGUAAGAGUGGACCUUUGGAUGAAAACACACUCGGUGGGGCAAGGCUACGGGGUGGAUGAUUUUUGUCUACAACAUUUAACAAGUGAAGAGGUGCAUCUGCUAGAAGAUGAUCAGAGAAGGCUUUCAAAACAGAGUUUGGAGUGAAACUAGUUGCUGUUAGUUGUUGAUACUGCUAGUGCUGUUGAUUGUUUUUGGCAUCAAGUGAUUUUGGUGUUGCUUUUAGUGUUGUUAGUGCUGCUGCUAGUUGCUGUUUUUGGUGCUGCAGAGCUGUUGUUGAUGUUGCUGUUGUUGCUGUUAGUUGUUGUUUUUGGUGCUGAUUUUGGUGUUGAUGUUCUGUUUUGGUGUUGUUUGAUAUGUUAAUUGUUGUUUUUUUCUUGGCUUUGGUUGGUAGCUCACUAAUUCUUGAUGGCGUGCUAGCAAAUGAUUGAGCGGGGAUAUUGGUGCCAACUUAGUUGAGAUUGGUAUGAGUCGCUAUCUUAUUUUCUUGGAAGGGAGUACUUUAUCUAUGCUUAUGACCAAAUAUAUGCUCUUUCUCCUGAUGUUGUUUCAAACUUGGUUGCUCUAAGAAGGGAAGUUUUUGCAGACGAAAUCCAAGCUGCUCAGAAUUUUCUAAUAUAAAGAUAUGGAGGGCACAAGCUGAGUGUUGAUACAAUUGAAUCAACCCAUGAUGGUGGACUCGCAAGAAGAUAUUUUGUUGUAAUUUUGUACUAUUUAGAAUUUAAAGAUAGUUUUUGUGUGUAUGUGUGUGUGUGUGUGGAUGAUUUAGAUCUUUUUGGACGAUUUUGAAGUUGAGGACAAUUUUUGAUGUUUGUAAACAUAGUUUUUGGAUGGUUUGGAAUGUACGGGCAGUUUUGGAUGUUCGAAACUUAUGAAUAAUUUUUUUGAUAUUUGAAA
Molecule: non-coding RNA, 6085 nt
Organism: Camellia sinensis
Lineage: Eukaryota; Viridiplantae; Streptophyta; Magnoliopsida; Ericales; Theaceae
Source: RefSeq, a predicted model, not a curated record